GUGCCAGCAGCCGCGGUAAUACGUAGGGUGCGAGCGUUAAUCGGAAUUACUGGGCGUAAAGCGUGCGCAGGCGGCUAUACAAGACAGGCGUGAAAUCCCCGGGCUUAACCUGGGAACUGCGUUUGUGACUGUAUGGCUAGAGUACGGCAGAGGGGGGUGGAAUUCCACGUGUAGCAGUGAAAUGCGUAGAGAUGUGGAGGAACACCGAUGGCGAAGGCAGCCCCCUGGGCCAGUACUGACGCUCAUGCACGAAAGCGUGGGGAGCAAACAGGAUUAGAAACCCUGGUAGUCC
This 292-nucleotide ribosomal RNA is filed under the name uncultured bacterium. RNAcentral's name for it is "partial 16S ribosomal RNA". It matches the Rfam family "Bacterial small subunit ribosomal RNA", at positions 505 to 796 of the family's 1533-position model. The record is from RNAcentral.